UACAGAGGGGGCAAGCGUUGUUCGGAAUUACUGGGCGUAAAGGGCGCGUAGGCGGCCUGCUAAGUCGAACGUGAAAUCCCCGGGCUCAACCCGGGAACUGCGUCCGAUACUGGCGGGCUUGAAUCCGGGAGAGGGAUGUGGAAUUCCAGGUGUAGCGGUGAAAUGCGUAGAUAUCAGGAGGAACACCGGUGGCGAAGGCGGAUCUCUGGGCCAUUACUGACGCUGAGGAGCGAAAGCGUGGGGAGCGAACAGG
This 253-nucleotide ribosomal RNA is filed under the name uncultured bacterium. RNAcentral's name for it is "partial 16S ribosomal RNA". It matches the Rfam family "Bacterial small subunit ribosomal RNA", at positions 524 to 776 of the family's 1533-position model. The record is from RNAcentral.